This 2717-nucleotide long non-coding RNA is filed under the name Mytilus galloprovincialis (Mediterranean mussel). The record is from RNAcentral. Lineage: Eukaryota; Metazoa; Mollusca; Bivalvia; Mytilida; Mytilidae.
AGGCCUCCCUAACUUCCGGAUAGGCGCCAUAUUGGAAAAAACUGAUGUUACUCAAAGAGGUAAGUCGUCAAUUUGAAAUGUUGAAUUAAGAAAAUCGAGCAAACCAAUUUCAUAUUGAAUUAGUUUUUAUUGUACUGUGAGUUAAAAAUUUUGAUGUUAUCAUAUUUUUAUAAACAAAAUUAUUAUGGUUAUUGAGAAAAAGUUCAGCAUUGCCAAGAAUGUUGCGAAAACACAUGUCUGAUAAAACCAAGUCUUGGUUUUAUGAAUUUUUCACAAUUGCUCGUUUUUGGAUAAGAAAUUUCUUUAAAUUAAAGGUCCGAUAGAAGUUUAAUAGGUUUUUGAAUGUUUAUAUGACAACCUCAUUGCAAAUCGGAUGCAAAUUAUGCAUUUUGACGCACAUGUUAUGCCGCUUCAUUGUUAUUCAAAUGAGCGACCAAAACCGGUUGUUUGUGUACUUUAGCACACAUGGUGGAUCAUUGAAAACGUAUAGGCAUUGUAUGGUUUUAUUUCUAUUCAUCUGUAAUUUAAACUUUACUAACUUCAAUACAUUGUUACACCAAUACAUGUACUUUGACAGAGAGUUGGGUCCUUGAAAAUCAUAUGGUAUGCCAUCCUUAUCUUCUUAUUUAUAUUUAUAUUAUACACACAUACAUUGACAAUAUAAUAUACAUGUAUAAUGAUUUGACAAGUAUCAGUUUUGAUUCAAACAAGUAUCAGAUGUUGUUCAGUUUCAUUUCAUUGGACUUGGGAAUUACUCUCGGGGGGGGGGGGGGGGGGGGGUGGACUAUAAGAAAUAUAUGAUUAGAUCAAUAAAGUUCCAAUAACUUCUUAGUCUCUCAUCCUUCUUGGUGUUACAAGCUGUUUUUAUCAAUCUUUUUUUACACAUUGGUAUUCCACUCUUUUAUUGCAGAGCAUUAAUAUCCACAUGAAACCCAAACAAUAUAGGAAAAGGUUACAUAUCAGAGGCCCCUCAUGGGGGGGUCCUAGUAAUCACAUAAUCACAAUUUUUUUGCCAAUAUAAUCACAUAAUCAUUAAAUAUUUGCUUAUCUUUAGUAAUCAAAUAAUCAUAAACUAAAAAUACAGUCUUAGGUAAUCAAAUAAUCAUGAAAUAUUUGGCUUAAUAAUCAAAUAAUCAUUAAAAAAACGGCCAAGUAAUCACAUAAUCAAAAACCCCAUGAGGGCCCUCAUAUCACCUAUGUAUCUGUAUUUGCAAUUUAUCAUGUUGCAAAACAAUAUAUAUCUCCAUGAUUCGUGAAGUUAUUUCAAUCUAAAUAUGCUACCCUACACUAUAAUAUUUAUUUAUGCUUUGAAUGAUCCAGUACUUUAAUAGUCAUGUCCAUAUUCAUAUUAUGCCUUCAUAUAAUUUCAGUCAGUGGAAAGACAUACAUGUAGAAUCAACAUCCUAGAUGAUUUUGCAAUUUUUCAUACAGACUAUGAAAACACUGCUGUAGUUCUUUGAUUUUUAAUAAGUUGUACAUGUUGUUGUGAUGUAACACAUUACUUUUCAUAUUACUACAUGUACAAAAUGAAUGAAAGAAGGUAAGAUAUUAAAGUUAUACUCAAAUAGUUAUUUUUACUUGUGAGAAAGUUGCAUGUAAUAUUUCAUAGAAAAUGAUUCUUCUUCUUGUUAUUGACUUACAAAUGUAACUCGGUCUCAAAUGAAAUGAAAGUUCAAAGAUUUAAGAAUACAAACAAGUACAUGUGUGCAUAAACAAAUAUUAAAAUAUUAUAGUCUACAUGUAUAUUAACAUUGCCAUGUAAAAUAUCAGAAUAUUUUUUAUAGUAUACAGCUGUUGACCAUUUUUAUAACACAGACUACAAAUUUUGUGGUCUCAGUGAAAUUAAGUCCUGUAUUUGCAGAUUUUUCCAUCUUUCAUACAUGUACAUGUAGGUGUAAUUAAGAUUGAGCCAAACUGCAUGGAAAAAUGUACUGGAACAGUUUACUUUCAAAAUAUUGAUGUACUUUGUAAUGAGCACCAUAGGCUGAUCUAGGGGGCUGGGUGAAGACUGAAGCCCUUUUGGUGGAAAAAAAUUGCUUAAUUAUAUAUGAAAUCACUGAAGCAUGACUGAGAGCAGUCCCCUUAGGUCAGUCAGAGUACAAGUUAUGGAUGUAUACCAAUAUAAAAUACAUGACAAUAUAAAAUACAUGACACUCUAAAAUAAGAGAAUAAAACAACCACAAACUUUUAAAUAGUUUACAAUCAGGACAACAACAACAUUGACCUUCUUCAUUUUUGGGGUCAAGGUGACAGGGCUGCCACUUUUUAAGAACAUCAUUGAUUAUUUCAAUUACAUUUUUUAGAUUGAAAUGCUUUUGUAAAAUUUAGUUACACAUUUAUGAUAAUUUGAUAAAGCUUAGAACAAUGUAAUAGUUUUGUUUUAAACUAUUUUUUUAUAUCUGCAAUAAAAUGAGAAGUGUUAUUGUCUUUAUAAGACAUUAAUAUAUAAGUCACAUUUAAAUUGUACUUUUAAAUUGCAUGUAUUGUAAAUUUUUUUCUUAUAUUGGAUUUGUUUUUCACUACAUGUAUAACAUUAUAAUUUCAGGUUAGAAUGCAAAACUGGUGAAGAUGAAGGUUAUAAUUGUGAUCUACAUAUUGAUUAAUUUGAAGCAGAUUUUGUUCUUAAGAGUGAAAUAAAAAAAAAACAGACAUGUAUUUAGAAAGAUGUUCAACUAUUAACAAGACAACAAGCAUAUUCAUUGUAUGACUGAGAGAGA